UCCAUGGCGCUGUGCGAGGCCGCGGGCUGCGGGAGCGCCCUGCUCUGGCCUCGCUUGUUGCUCUUCGGGGACUCCAUCACCCAGAAAAUGUGAUGUUCUGAAUCGUGGAUUUUCAGGUUACAAUACCAGAUGGGCCAAAAUUAUCCUUCCAAGAUUAAUCAGGAAAGGAAACAGUUUGGACAUCCCAGUAGCAGUUACAAUUUUCUUUGGGGCCAAUGACAGUGCACUAAAAGAUGAGAAUCCCAAGCAGCACAUUCCCCUGGAGGAGUACGCUGCGAACCUGAAGAGCAUGGUGCAGUACCUGAAGUCCGUGGACAUCCCUGAGAAUCGAGUCAUUCUCAUCACGCCGACCCCACUUUGUGAAACAGCCUGGGAAGAACAGUGCAUCAUACAAGGUUGCAAACUAAAUCGCCUGAACUCUGUUGUUGGUGAAUAUGCCAAUGCGUGUUUACAAGUGGCCCAAGACUGUGGGACUGAUGUACUUGACCUGUGGACCCUGAUGCAGGACAGCCAGGUACGGUGGCUUGCUCGGUCCUCUCGGGGUAAAUAGGAUCACACAGAAGUAAACCAGGUGUGUGUGCAGCAGCUUUCCCUAGAAAGGCCCUGCUUAGCUAAGACAGUCAUCCCUUUAGCCAAUGAAAACAAACAGGCUUGGGGGAGGGGAGGAAUGGAGGUUCCAGGAUGGCUCACAAGCCCAGCAGCUUAAUUCAGCCAGGCUCCUUGGCUAGGAGUUAGUGCGCAGUGACAUCAAUGAGCAACACAUGGCUCAUAUUUAUGAACGUCCAGGCCAAGUUCUUCUUUCAUACAGAGAACGGCAGAAAGCUAAAACUUGUUAAUAGGUAAAACAAUGAAUUUAAAUACAGUAUUGGCUAAUAAAACUGUUUGAGAUAUGUAGUUCUAAUUAAGUUACUUUGUUUUAAAGCCUGAAAGCACAAAUAUAAAAGGUAAAAAGCAGGUCCCAUAGAAUGGUGCACUGACUCAGGAGACAGCUGGUUUCUUACGCAGUCACACAUACACUUAGGGAGGACCUGGCAGUCCACUCCUGGGUUAUCUGCCCUAGAGAAAUGAAAACUAUGUUCACACAGAACCUGGGUGUAACUGUUGACAGCAGCAUUAUUCCUACCUGCUGGAAACACGCCAGUGUCCUUCUGUGAUGAAUAGGGAAACUGGUGUGUCCGUGGAAUGGGAUACUACUCGGCAAUAAAGAGGAGGAACUGACAAGCGCAGCAACGUGGGUGACUCUCGAGGUGCUUCACUGAGGGAAGGAAGCUGGUCUCUGAAGGUUACUUACUACAUGAGUCCAUCUGUUUUGGUGUCUCAAAAAGGCAAGACUUGGGCUGGGUGUGGUGGCUCACACCUGUAAUCCCAUCACUUUGGGAGGCCAAGGCAGGUGGAUCACCUGAGUUCGGGAGUUCAAGACCAGCCUGGCCAACAUGGCGAAACCCUAUCUCUACUAAAAAUACAAAAAUUAGCUGGGCAUGGUGGAGCGCGCCUGUAAUCCCAGUUACCCAGGAGGCUGAGGUGUGAGAAUCGCUUGAACCCGGGAGGCAGAGGUCACACCACUGCACUCUGGUCUGGAGGAUACAGGGAGACUGUCUCACCCUCCCCAGCCCACCCCCCAAAAAAAGGCAAGACUGCAGUAACAGAACAGGUCCGUGGUGGCCAGAGGUUAGGGCAAGGAAAGGUAUGGCUAAAUUCAGGUUCCACACAGAUACUGGUGAAGAGGGGCAGACAGGCACUGGUCUUUUUUAAUUUUUCUGUGACCUUGUGCUACUCUUCUGUAAAGAGCUUGUUCAGUAGGGCACAUUAAAGGCUAUUUCAUUGCUAUGCUGGGAUCCAGAGAGAAAGCUUGGACGGGACUGAUGAUAUUUGAAGUACUCAAGGGAAGGAAGGAUCCAGUGUGCGGGAAGCUCUUUGGACAAACGGGAAGACUCACAGCCUCACCGGUUUCCUCUAUUCCUAGCUGUUAGGUUUAGGCUACUUGGACAAAGCAACAUAGAAAACAGCCAAGAAACUAACCCAAGUGCCAACUUUUUCCUCUCCCCUAAAUAUUAAUCCAUACCAAUCGUUCCAAUGACCUACACAUUUAUUAUCCAUCUGUAAUAGGGAAAAUGGUCACCAGUGGGAAAGUCAUACUACCACGUGGAUGCCGAGUCACCAGUCACCUUUGGAGGCCCUGAGAGCCUAAGCAGAUCUGGACCCUAGGCCUCUAGUCUUCCUCUGAAACCCUGAGUGUACUGGAACCUUCAGAAUUCCCAGAUCAGGAGGGGCCUUGGCAGCUUGAGUGCCAAAAGGGUCAACAUCUAGAGUUCUGUUGUCUAGGAAAGGAAACUGCAAACUAUUGGGCUAGUUUUGCUCACAUGUCUUUUUCAAUUUAAUACAAAACUGAGAGGGUCGUCCUUAGAGAUCAUCUCAUCUCAAACUGCCUAGAUGAGAAAACCAAGGCCGAGGAAGAAGUGCUACUAUUAUAUGAUAGCAUCUAAAUUUCUGGUCUAUUAAAAGUCACAUAAGGCCGGGCGCGGUGGCUCAUGCCUAUCAUCCCAACACUUCGGGAGGCUGAGGCAGGUGGAUCACCUGAGGUCAGGAGUUCGAGACCAGCCUGGCCAACAUGGUGAAACCCCAUCUCUACUUAAAAAUACAAAAAUUAGCCAGGCGUGGUGGCAGUCACCUGUAAUCCCAGCUACUUGGGAGGCUGAGGCAGGAGAAUCACCUGAACCCGGGAGGCAGGGGUUGAAUUAGGCCGAGACUGUGCCAUUGUUCUCUAGCCUGGGCAACAAGAGUGAGACUCCAGCUC
This 2794-nucleotide small RNA is filed under the name Pan troglodytes (chimpanzee). RNAcentral's name for it is "retained intron". Lineage: Eukaryota; Metazoa; Chordata; Mammalia; Primates; Hominidae. The record is from RNAcentral.